Molecule: ribosomal RNA, 780 nt
Filed under: bacterium enrichment culture clone WG_44
Lineage: Bacteria
Description: bacterial SSU rRNA
Rfam family: Bacterial small subunit ribosomal RNA
Source: RNAcentral
UCGAGCGAGAGUCUUCGGACUCGAGCGGCGAACGGGUGAGUAACACGUAGGAAAUCUGCCGUAAAGACUGGGAUACCAGACCGAAAGGUUUGCUAAUACCGGAUAUGAAUUCGAGAGGCAUCUCUUGAAUUUGAAAGCUGCGUUUGCAGCACUAUACGAUGAUCCUGCGGCGCAUUAGUUAGUUGGUGAGAUAACAGCCCACCAAGACGAGGAUGCGUAGCCGACCUGAGAGGGUGAUCGGCCACAAUGGAACUGAGACACGGUCCAUACUCCUACGGGAGGCAGCAGUAAGGAGUUUUCGGCAAUGGGGGAAACCCUGACCGAGCAAUACCGCGUGAGUGAUGAAGGUCUUCGGAUCGUAAAACUCUGUUGUAAGGGAAGAAUGAUAAGAAUAGGAAAUGAUUUUUAUUUGACCGUACCUUACGAGGAAGCCACGGCUAACUACGUGCCAGCAGCCGCGGUAAUACGUAGGUGGCAAGCGUUAUCCGGGAUUAUUGGGCGUAAAGAGUGAGCAGGCGGCCGUUUAAGUCUGAAGUCAAAUGCAGUAGCUCAACUACUGUUCGCUUUGGAAACUGGAUGGCUAGAGUUCGGGAGAGGUAAAUGGAACUUCAUGUGUAGCGGUGAAAUGCGUAGAUAUAUGAAAGAACACCAGUGGCGAAGGCGAUUUACUAGACCGAUACUGACGCUCAGUCACGAAAGCGUGGGUAGCAAAUAGGAUUAGAUACCCUAGUAGUCCACGCCGUAAACGAUGAGUACUAAGUGUUGGGGUUACCCAGCGCU